AUUUUAUUUCUUUCCAGCAUUUUUCGCAAGCUAAGUGCCGAAAUGGAUUAUGAGAAGAGAUACAAGCCGGAGGAAACAAAAGUUUACAAGUUGCUGUAGUAGUCUGUGUAUCUUGAUUAAUCUUAAAAAGGCACAGGCAACAUAUUUAUAAUCGCGUUCGUUAUUACGUUGUAGCUUCUACAAAUUUUCCACUUACAUAAGUGUCAAGAAAUCUUGACGAAAUCGAAGGAAACUAUCAAGCUGAAAAGUGGGCACGAACACAUACCUUCAUGCAUAUGUACAUAGGUGCCCUUACAUUACCCCUUGAAGUGACUGAGGAUGUGCAAAUUAUCAACGAUAAAAUUCUAUGGCGUAGAUAAGAGCGCUGCGUCAACUAACACUUUCACACUGAUCAUAGGAACAGAUCGUCUUGGAUAUAUUUGAAUAGCUGAAACAUUAUUUUAGCCAACGCAAGAUAA
Molecule: long non-coding RNA, 458 nt
Organism: Rhagoletis pomonella (apple maggot)
Lineage: Eukaryota; Metazoa; Arthropoda; Insecta; Diptera; Tephritidae
Exons: 3
Source: RefSeq, a predicted model, not a curated record